Molecule: ribosomal RNA, 460 nt
Filed under: uncultured bacterium
Lineage: Bacteria
Description: partial 16S ribosomal RNA
Rfam family: Bacterial small subunit ribosomal RNA
Source: RNAcentral
CCUACGGGCGGCAGCAGUGAGGAAUAUUGGUCAAUGGACGAGAGUCUGAACCAGCCAAGUAGCGUGAAGGAUGACUGCCCUAUGGGUUGUAAACUUCUUUUAUAUGGGAAUAAAACGUUCCACGUGUGGGAUUUUGUAUGUACCAUAUGAAUAAGGAUCGACUAACUCCGUGCCAGCAGCCGCGGUAAUACGGAGGAUCCGAGCGUUAUCCGGAUUUAUUGGGUUUAAAGGGAGCGUAGGUGGAUUGUUAAGUCAGUUGUGAAAGUUUGCGGCUCAACCGUAAAAUUGCAGUUGAAACUGGCAGUCUUGAGUACAGUAGAGGUGGGCGGAAUUCGUGGUGUAGCGGUGAAAUGCUUAGAUAUCACGAAGAACUCCGAUUGCGAAGGCAGUUCACUGGACUGCAACUGACACUGAGGCUCGAAAGUGUGGGUAUCAAACAGGAUUAGAUACCCCUGUAGUC